AUUUUUUCAUAAUUACUUGAUAGAGGUAGAUCUUGUUGAGGAUAAAGAGGUGUUAGCUGAGGUAGAUGAAGAAAUUCUUGUCAAAGUGAACUUCAAUAUGAUAGAGCGCCAACAAAUAACAAUGAUAAAGAACAUACUCUUUUGGAAGGGAAUUUGAGAAGUUCUAUAGUUAUUAUUGCGAUGUGGAAAGACUACCAGUCUCGAUUAGGAUCUUAAUGUGAGAAUUUGUGAUUGUGGUAUAAAAAUUUAGAAUUUAU
Molecule: long non-coding RNA, 257 nt
Filed under: Lupinus angustifolius (narrow-leaved blue lupine)
Lineage: Eukaryota; Viridiplantae; Streptophyta; Magnoliopsida; Fabales; Fabaceae
Description: long non-coding RNA (LANG_LNC001108)
Source: RNAcentral